AGGCGGGUCUCUGGGCCGAUACUGACGCUGAGGAGCGAAAGCGUGGGGAGCGAACAGGAUUAGAUGCCCUGGUAGUCCACGCCGUAAACGGUGGGCGCUAGGUGUGGGGGACUUCCACGUUCUCUGUGCCGCAGCUAACGCAUUAAGCGCCCCGCCUGGGGAGUACGGCCGCAAGGCUAAAACUCAAAGGAAUUGACGGGGGCCCGCACAAGCGGCGGAGCAUGCUGAUUAAUUCGAUGCAACGCGAAGAACCUUACCAAGGCUUGACAUACACCGGAAACUUCCAGAAAUGGUUGCCCCGCAAGGUCGGUGUACAGGUGGUGCAUGGUUGUCGUCAGCUCGUGUCGUGAGAUGUUGGGUUAAGUCCCGCAACGAGCGCAACCCUCGUCUUAUGUUGCCAGCACGUUAUGGUGGGGACUCAUAAGAGACUGCCGGGGUCAACUCGGAGGAAGGUGGGGAUGAGGUCAAAUCAUCAUGCCCCUUAUGUCUUGGGCUUCAAGCAUGAUACAAUGGCCGGUUCAAAGGGCUGCGAUACCGUGAGGUGAAGAGAAUCCCAAUAAGCCGGUGUCAGUUCGGAGAGGGGUAUGUAACUAGAUCCCAUGAAGUCGGAGUCGGUAGUAAUGGCAGAUCAGUAACGCUGUGGUGAAUACGUUCCCCGGCCCAGGACACGCUGCGAGGCAUGUCUCGAAAGUCGGUCACUCCCCAACCC
Molecule: ribosomal RNA, 709 nt
Filed under: uncultured organism
Description: SSU rRNA
Rfam family: Bacterial small subunit ribosomal RNA
Source: RNAcentral